UGGGGAAUAUUGCACAAUGGGCGCAAGCCUGAUGCAGCCAUGCCGCGUGUAUGAAGAAGGCCUUCGGGUUGUAAAGUACUUUCAGCGAGGAGGAAGGCGGUAAGGUUAAUAACCUUAUCGAUUGACGUUACUCGCAGAAGAAGCACCGGCUAACUCCGUGCCAGCAGCCGCGGUAAUACGGAGGGUGCAAGCGUUAAUCGGAAUUACUGGGCGUAAAGCGCACGCAGGCGGUCUGUCAAGUCGGAUGUGAAAUCCCCGGGCUCAACCUGGGAACUGCAUUCGAAACUGGCAGGCUAGAGUCUUGUAGAAGGGGGUAGAAUUCCGGGUGUAGCGGUGAAAUGCGUAGAGAUCU
RNAcentral lists this ribosomal RNA (352 nucleotides) under uncultured bacterium. Its description in RNAcentral is "partial 16S ribosomal RNA". It matches the Rfam family "Bacterial small subunit ribosomal RNA", at positions 355 to 699 of the family's 1533-position model. The record is from RNAcentral.